UAACCUGGGAACUGCAUUCGAAACUGGCAGGCUAGAGUCUUGUAGAGGGGGGUAGAAUUCCAGGUGUAGCGGUGAAAUGCGUAGAGAUCUGGAGGAAUACCGGUGGCGAAGGCGGCCCCCUGGACAAAGACUGACGCUCAGGUGCGAAAGCGUGGGGAGCAAACAGGAUUAGAUACCCUGGUAGUCCACGCCGUAAACGAUGUCGAUUUGGAGGUUGUGCCCUUGAGGCGUGGCUUCCGGAGCUAACGCGUUAAAUCGACCGCCUGGGGAGUACGGCCGCAAGGUUAAAACUCAAAUGAAUUGACGGGGGCCCGCACAAGCGGUGGAGCAUGUGGUUUAAUUCGAUGCAACGCGAAGAACCUUACCUGGUCUUGACAUCCACAGAACUUUCCAGAGAUGGAUUGGUGCCUUCGGGAACUGUGAGACAGGUGCUGCAUGGCUGUCGUCAGCUCGUGUUGUGAAAUGUUGGGUUAAGUCCCGCAACGAGCGCAACCCUUAUCCUUUGUUGCCAGCGGUCCGGCCGGGAACUCAAAGGAGACUGCCAGUGAUAAACUGGAGGAAGGUGGGGAUGACGUCAAGUCAUCAUGGCCCUUACGACCAGGGCUACACACGUGCUACAAUGGCAUAUACAAAGAGAAGCGACCUCGCGAGAGCAAGCGGACCUCAUAAAGUAUGUCGUAGUCCGGAUUGGAGUCUGCAACUCGACUCCAUGAAGUCGGAAUCGCUAGUAAUCGUAGAUCAGAAUGCUACGGUGAAUACGUUCCCGGGCCUUGUACACACCGCCCGUCACACCAUGGGAGUGGGUUGCAAAAGAAGUAGGUAGCUUAACCUUCGGGAGGGCGCUUACCACUUUGUGAUUCAUGACUGGGGUGAAGUCGUAACAAGGUAACCGUAGGGGAACCUGCGGUUGGAUCACCU
Molecule: ribosomal RNA, 918 nt
Filed under: Klebsiella pneumoniae CHS 28
Lineage: Bacteria; Pseudomonadati; Pseudomonadota; Gammaproteobacteria; Enterobacterales; Enterobacteriaceae
Description: bacterial SSU rRNA
Rfam family: Bacterial small subunit ribosomal RNA
Source: RNAcentral